RNAcentral lists this small RNA (71 nucleotides) under Corethron pennatum. RNAcentral's name for it is "partial Mitochondrion-encoded tmRNA". The record is from RNAcentral. Lineage: Eukaryota; Bacillariophyta; Corethrophyceae; Corethrales; Corethraceae.
UCGAAUGCAGAUCUUGACAAUUCCAGUAUUAUGACUGGUAAUGGGGAAAAUAAAAAAGCGGAUAAUGUUAG